AGUGAACGCUGGCGGUAGGCCUAACACAUGCAAGUCGAACGGCAGCACAGUAAGAGCUUGCUCUUACGGGUGGCGAGUGGCGGACGGGUGAGGAAUACAUCGGAAUCUACUUUUUCGUGGGGGAUAACGUAGGGAAACUUACGCUAAUACCGCAUACGACCUACGGGUGAAAGCAGGGGAUCUUCGGACCUUGCGCGAUUGAAUGAGCCGAUGUCGGAUUAGCUAGUUGGCGGGGUAAAGGCCCACCAAGGCGACGAUCCGUAGCUGGUCUGAGAGGAUGUUCAGCCAAACUGGAACUGAGGCACGGUCCAGGCUCCUACGGGAGGCAGCAGUGGGGAAUAUUGGACAAUGGGCGCAAGCCUGAUCCAGCCAUACCGCGUGGGUGAAGAAGGCCUUCGGGUUGUAAAGCCCUUUUGUUGGGAAAGAAAAGCAGCAGGUUAAGACCCCGCUGUUCUGACGGUACCCAAAGAAUAAGCACCGGCUAACUUCGU
This 491-nucleotide ribosomal RNA is filed under the name uncultured bacterium. RNAcentral's name for it is "partial 16S ribosomal RNA". It matches the Rfam family "Bacterial small subunit ribosomal RNA", at positions 29 to 506 of the family's 1533-position model. The record is from RNAcentral.